CUGGCCUGUGCCUACUGGGGAAAAAGCGACAUCAGUUAAAAUUUUGAAACAUACGGGUCUUAGACCUGUGGCAACGAUAAAUGUGGUUGGCAGUGAAGCACACCAACGAUACCUGUUGUCGGUGAACAUACCUUGGCCGCGGUUUGCACCAUAUCCAGAACUGUUGGUCGAGAGUGAACAAACGCCGGCCAAGCUGGAACAGUACCGAAGUUUUAUGCGGUCCGUCAUACACUUUAUUUAUGCCUUUCGAGGGAAUUCUAAUCUGCACCAAGAAGUUAAGGAUAGCUGCGAUGAAAGUUCAGAGGAAAACACUGACGCCAGCGAUAAAGAUGAUACUAUCCGUAAAGUGGUCGGUGAUAUCGUCCAAGUUGAGGUGGCUCUUGCUAAAAUGGCGGUAACUGCGAAGAAACAGAAAGAAAAAGUCCAAAUCACUACCAUAGAACAAUGGCAAACUGAGCUCGGC
Long non-coding RNA from Dermacentor silvarum, 463 nucleotides. RefSeq lists it as uncharacterized. The record is from RefSeq and is a predicted model, not a curated record. The transcript is spliced from 3 exons. NCBI's taxonomy places the organism in Eukaryota, Metazoa, Arthropoda, Arachnida, Ixodida, Ixodidae.